RNAcentral lists this long non-coding RNA (221 nucleotides) under Pan paniscus (pygmy chimpanzee). RNAcentral describes it as "lncRNA (ENSPPAG00000045111.1)". The record is from RNAcentral. Lineage: Eukaryota; Metazoa; Chordata; Mammalia; Primates; Hominidae.
AAGGGAUAUAGAGAAGCACUGGCAUGAUUUCGACAUAAAAUAUAUUGUCGGGAUAGUUUGUGGGCUCGCCUAUGGAGAAGGUGUGUUAGGAAAAGGAACAGAAGAGACCGGCACCUCAGGAAGCACAUUCACUAACAGGCCCAGUGACAUCUCAGUGACAUCUUCUGCAUGCCCUCCACCAAUCAGCUUCCUCUUAAUGUUGCAGAAGACUAUUCCAUGAC